GGGUUGUGAGGUUAAGCGACUAAGCGUACACGGUGGAUGCCCUGGCAGUCAGAGGCGAUGAAGGACGUGCUAAUCUGCGAUAAGCGCCGGUAAGGUGAUAUGAACCGUUAUAACCGGCGAUUUCCGAAUGGGGAAACCCAGUGUGACUCGUCACACUAUCAUUAACUGAAUCCAUAGGUUAAUGAGGCGAACCGGGGGAACUGAAACAUCUAAGUACCCCGAGGAAAAGAAAUCAACCGAGAUUCCCCCAGUAGCGGCGAGCGAACGGGGAGGAGCCCAGAGCCUGAAUCAGCAUGUGUGUUAGUGGAAGCGUCUGGAAAGGCGCGCGAUACAGGGUGACAGCCCCGUACACAAAAGCGCACAUGCUGUGAGCUCGAUGAGUAGGGCGGGACACGUGGUAUCCUGUCUGAAUAUGGGGGGACCAUCCUCCAAGGCUAAAUACUCCUGACUGACCGAUAGUGAACCAGUACCGUGAGGGAAAGGCGAAAAGAACCCCGGCGAGGGGAGUGAAAAAGAACCUGAAACCGUGUACGUACAAGCAGUGGGAGCACAGGUUUACCUGUGUGACUGCGUACCUUUUGUAUAAUGGGUCAGCGACUUAUAUUCUGUAGCAAGGUUAACCGAAUAGGGGAGCCGGAGGGAAACCGAGUCUUAAU
RNAcentral lists this ribosomal RNA (656 nucleotides) under Salmonella enterica subsp. enterica serovar Brandenburg. RNAcentral's name for it is "partial 23S ribosomal RNA". It matches the Rfam family "Bacterial large subunit ribosomal RNA", at positions 1 to 688 of the family's 2925-position model. The record is from RNAcentral. Lineage: Bacteria; Pseudomonadati; Pseudomonadota; Gammaproteobacteria; Enterobacterales; Enterobacteriaceae.